This 604-nucleotide long non-coding RNA is filed under the name Theobroma cacao (cacao). Its description in RNAcentral is "long non-coding RNA (TCAC_LNC006063)". Lineage: Eukaryota; Viridiplantae; Streptophyta; Magnoliopsida; Malvales; Malvaceae. The record is from RNAcentral.
CGUAGGGUAUCUCCUGAGGUAUGGACAGAGUUCACGUCAUGCCGAACCACCUCGUGAUGAUGAACUCCGCUAACGCCAAGGAAUGGCUGUGUUUUUCAAACUAAAAAUAUGUUUGCGUGUAUACGAACUUUUUAACAGCCUUGGUGGACUCGGUUAGAUGCCUCGGCCAAGGUAUCCCCGAGAAUAAUUUUGACAGGAGCCAAGUUUUUUUUUUAAAUACUCAUAAGUCAUGUUGACUAUUUAAAUGAAAUGAAUACUUAUGUUAUGAAAAACUUAUUUGGAUGAAAUGUUUUAAUAGUCUCCUUUUACUCGGACUUUAAAUCUUUUGAAUGAUGUUUGUUUACUCACUGGGAUUAUAAAAUCUCACCACUCUCCUUUCUACCCAUUUCAGGUUCAGAUUAGGCUGUAGAUAGCUGAGUUCAUCGAGGACUACCCUUGGAUUUGCAUUCCUUCAAACUGUAGGUUUACAGUCCUCUUUAUUUUUGGUUAUUUGGGAGUCCACUGGUCAUUGUAAAUUAAAUUAAAUACUCUAGUUUACUGUAUUACAAUAUGUAUAAAUUUAUUUUGCUUUUGCGCUACAAAAAUUAACUACGUAUAACUCUGA